GUGCGCGCGGCAUAGCCCAUUGAGCGAGAGGAGGACACGCUGACACUGUACAUUAGCAUACCUCCAACGUUAAUGGUAUUUGGAGGAAAAAAUAUUUUUAUCCUGAACGGGAACUUUUGGAAUGUCUGUGCAACUAAAAACAUGUUGAAGGAAACGGAUCCAUCCAUUUGCAGCAAUCUGAGAUCCCUGAGGCAUUUCUCCCCAUUCUGUCCAAGAAGUUGGAUGAAUGAACAUCCACAACACUGCCAGUAAAUCUGAAACCAAAAAUAUAUUAUGCUACGAGAGCCACACCAGGGGAUCCAAACAGAUUCACAGGAAACAGGUUGGCAAGGAUGCAGGACACACCAAACUAAAGGAGAUUAGAAAUGUGAUUACUGACUGAAAGAAAGAAGAAAACUUAAGAGAAAGAAAGACGGAAAGAGAGAGGAUUGCACGUUUUCCCCUUUCUCAGUAGGGCAUCCCCUGAAUUCCUGCUACUAUGCCUGAGAGAGGGAGGGCUGAAGACAUGUCGAAAUGAACCCCUAUGACAACUCACACUUCAGGAGGGAUCUCUUUCCUCACUUCCACUUAUUGUAGGGGCUUUUCUACCGCCCCUCUGUUUGUGUGUGACAUGGGUACACCCAUGUCUGUGAUAACCUAGGACAUCAGGUAAAGACUGCGGGCCUGGUAUUCUCCUGUGUUGUGCCUUGGUUGCUUGUAAUCAGAUUGCUACAACUUAAACUCUCUCCAGAAAAGUGGUCAUGGUUUUACACUGUAAACUCUCCUCAGGAAACUGGUCAUGGUGUUACACUGUAAACUGUCCUCAGGAAACUGGUCUUGGUGUUGCACUGUAAACUGUUCUCCAGAAACCUCGUAACAUGUUUAGCAUUCUCAUGAGAGGUUAAAGACUUUGCCAGCAUUUGAAAACACAGUUUCCUUGAAAUGUGUACCGAAGGUAAUAUCUAAUAUCACAAUCAAACCUUUUCAUGACAUUUAGAUUUCCCCCGAUUCAAACCUUUUGAGAUAUUUUUGCAUGCAUAAAGACAAGUCUCUUUCAAUUGGCCUUGUCAUUGUUUUUACCCACUUUUCCUUGCACAUCUUUUGUUUGCUAUUUCCAGACUAAAAGCCUUUCAGAAUUGGAUAAACGUGUGUUCUCUGUCAAGCAGGGGUGCUGAGUGUGACACUUUAACCAAGACGAGCCAACCCAUAUUUGGAUAAAACAAGGACACAGCACCUCACAUCAUAGGAUUUUGCCUCUGAAAUAACAUUUGAUCUCUAUGUUUUUGUGGACGUCGUCCACAGGUGUUUGCCCCGUGUGUUUGUUACUCCUCGCCUUUUUCACCAGAGUAGGUAAUAUGUAUUCUGCUCCUACACAUUCCCAGUACUGUUUCUGUCGAAGUGUUACAUAAAAUCAAUCCUUGCAUUAUUUUGUAUUGGGUACCUUGAAAUCCGUACACAAAAAAAGUACAAAAAAACACAAACCUUGGCG
Molecule: long non-coding RNA, 1468 nt
Organism: Esox lucius (northern pike)
Lineage: Eukaryota; Metazoa; Chordata; Actinopteri; Esociformes; Esocidae
Source: Ensembl